UGGGGAAUCUUGGACAAUGGGCGCAAGCCUGAUCCAGCCAUGCCGCGUGAGUGAUGAAGGCCUUAGGGUUGUAAAGCUCUUUCAGCGGGGAAGAUAAUGACGGUACCCGCAGAAGAAGCCCCGGCUAACUUCGUGCCAGCAGCCGCGGUAAUACGAAGGGGGCUAGCGUUGCUCGGAAUCACUGGGCGUAAAGCGCACGUAGGCGGCUUUCUAAGUCAGGGGUGAAAUCCUGGAGCUCAACUCCAGAACUGCCUUUGAUACUGGAGAGCUUGAGUCCGGAAGAGGUGAGUGGAACUCCGAGUGUAGAGGUGAAAUUCGUAGAUAUUCGGAAGAACACCAGUGGCGAAGGCGGCUCACUGGUCCGGUACUGACGCUGAGGUGCGAAAGCGUGGGGAGCAAACA
This 402-nucleotide ribosomal RNA is filed under the name uncultured Rhodoplanes sp. RNAcentral's name for it is "bacterial SSU rRNA". It matches the Rfam family "Bacterial small subunit ribosomal RNA", at positions 355 to 774 of the family's 1533-position model. The record is from RNAcentral. Lineage: Bacteria; Pseudomonadati; Pseudomonadota; Alphaproteobacteria; Hyphomicrobiales; Nitrobacteraceae.